GAUGAAGAACGCAGCGAAAUGCGAUAAGUAAUGUGAAUUGCAGAAUUCAGUGAAUCAUCGAAUCUUUGAACGCACAUUGCGCCCGCCAGUAUUCUGGCGGGCAUGCCUGUUCGAGCGUCAUUUCAACCAUCAAGCCCCCGGCUUGUGUUGGGGACCUGCGGCUGCCGCAGGCCCUGAAAAGCAGUGGCGGGCUCGCUGUCACACCGAGCGUAGUAGCAUACAUCUCGCUCUGGGCGUGCUGCGGGUUCCGGCCGUUAAACCACCUUCAUAACCCAAGGUUGACCUCGGAUCAGGUAGGAAGACCCGCUGAACUUAGGCAUAUCAAUAAGCGGAGGA
RNAcentral lists this unclassified non-coding RNA (336 nucleotides) under soil metagenome. RNAcentral's name for it is "partial contains 5.8S ribosomal RNA, internal transcribed spacer 2, and large subunit ribosomal RNA". The stretch from base 1 to 120 matches the Rfam family "5.8S ribosomal RNA", at positions 35 to 154 of the family's 154-position model. The record is from RNAcentral.